CCUACGGGUGGCAGCAGUGAGGAAUCUUGGUCUAUGGGCGGAAGCCUGAACCAGCCAAGUAGCGUGCAGGAUGACGGCCCUCCGGGUUGUAAACUGCUUUUAUACGGGCAUAUCGCGCCUUAUGUGUAGGGAUUUGCAUGUCCCGUAUGAAUAAGGACCGGCUAAUUCCGUGCCAGCAGCCGCGGUCAUACGGAGGGUCCGGGCGUUAUCCGGAUUUAUUGGGUUUAAAGGGAGCGUAGGCCGCAUGUCAAGCGUGCUGUGAAAUGUCCGGGCUCAACCCGGGCCUUGCAGCGCGAACUGGCGUGCGUGAGUCCGCGGAAGGCAGGCGGAAUUCGUCGUGUAGCGGUGAAAUGCUUAGAUAUGACGAAGAACCCCGAUUGCGAAGGCAGCUUGCUGCAGCGGAACUGACGCUGAUGCUCGAAAGCGCGGGUAUCGAACAGGAUUAGAUACCCGGGUAGUC
This 460-nucleotide ribosomal RNA is filed under the name uncultured bacterium. Its description in RNAcentral is "partial 16S ribosomal RNA". It matches the Rfam family "Bacterial small subunit ribosomal RNA", at positions 338 to 795 of the family's 1533-position model. The record is from RNAcentral.